UCAAAAACGACUCUCGGCAACGGAUAUCUCGGCUCACGCAUCGAUGAAGAACGUAGCAAAAUGCGAUACUUGGUGUGAAUUGCAGAAUCCCGUGAAUCAUCGAGUUUUUGAACGCAAGUUGCGCCCAAAACCAUCCGGUUGAGGGCACGCCUGCCUGGGCGUCACAC
RNAcentral lists this ribosomal RNA (167 nucleotides) under Crepidiastrum lanceolatum. Its description in RNAcentral is "5.8S ribosomal RNA". It matches the Rfam family "5.8S ribosomal RNA". Rfam says of the family: 5.8S ribosomal RNA (5.8S rRNA) is a component of the large subunit of the eukaryotic ribosome. It is transcribed by RNA polymerase I as part of the 45S precursor that also contains 18S and 28S rRNA. Functionally, it is thought that 5.8S rRNA may be involved in ribosome translocation. Lineage: Eukaryota; Viridiplantae; Streptophyta; Magnoliopsida; Asterales; Asteraceae. The record is from RNAcentral.